UGCAAGUCGAACGAGACCUUCGGGUCUAGUGGCGCACGGGUGCGUAACGCGUGGGAAUCUGCCCUUGGGUACGGAAUAACUCGGAGAAAUCCGUGCUAAUACCGUAUAAUGACUUCGGUCCAAAGAUUUAUCGCCCAAGGAUGAGCCCGCGUAAGAUUAGCUAGUUGGUGGGGUAAAAGCCUACCAAGGCGACGAUCUUUAGCUGGUCUGAGAGGAUGAUCAGCCACACUGGGACUGAGACACGGCCCAGACUCCUACGGGAGGCAGCAGUGGGGAAUAUUGGACAAUGGGCGAAAGCCUGAUCCAGCAAUGCCGCGUGAGUGAUGAAGGCCCUAGGGUUGUAAAGCUCUUUUACCCGGGAUGAUAAUGACAGUACCGGGAGAAUAAGCUCCGGCUAACUCCGUGCCAGCAGCCGCGGUAAUACGGAGGGAGCUAGCGUUGUUCGGAAUUACUGGGCGUAAAGCGCGCGUAGGCGGUUUUUUAAGUCAGAGGUGAAAGCCCGGGGCUCAACCCCGGAAUUGCCUUUGAAACUGGAAAACUUGAAUCUUGGAGAGGUCAGUGGAAUUCCGAGUGUAGAGGUGAAAUU
RNAcentral lists this ribosomal RNA (586 nucleotides) under Sphingomonas sp. MPCa5SU_Cu03. Its description in RNAcentral is "bacterial SSU rRNA". It matches the Rfam family "Bacterial small subunit ribosomal RNA", at positions 56 to 688 of the family's 1533-position model. Lineage: Bacteria; Pseudomonadati; Pseudomonadota; Alphaproteobacteria; Sphingomonadales; Sphingomonadaceae. The record is from RNAcentral.